RNAcentral lists this ribosomal RNA (450 nucleotides) under uncultured bacterium. RNAcentral's name for it is "partial 16S ribosomal RNA". It matches the Rfam family "Bacterial small subunit ribosomal RNA", at positions 354 to 796 of the family's 1533-position model. The record is from RNAcentral.
GUGGGGAAUUUUGGACAAUGGGCGCAAGCCUGAUCCAGCCAUUCCGCGUGCAGGAUGAAGGCCUUCGGGUUGUAAACUGCUUUUGUACGGAACGAAAAGCCUCUGGUUAAUACCCGGGGGUCAUGACGGUACCGUAAGAAUAAGCACCGGCUAACUACGUGCCAGCAGCCGCGGUAAUACGUAGGGUGCGAGCGUUAAUCGGAAUUACUGGGCGUAAAGCGUGCGCAGGCGGUGAUGUAAGACAGUUGUGAAAUCCCCGGGCUCAACCUGGGAACUGCAUCUGUGACUGCAUUGCUGGAGUGCGGCAGAGGGGGAUGGAAUUCCGCGUGUAGCAGUGAAAUGCGUAGAUAUGCGGAGGAACACCGAUGGCGAAGGCAGUCCCCUGGGCCUGUACUGACGCUCAUGCACGAAAGCGUGGGGAGCAAACAGGAUUAGAAACCCUGGUAGUCC